AUUGAACGCUGGCGGCAGGCUUAACACAUGCAAGUCGAGCGGGGGAAGGUAGCUUGCUACUGGACCUAGCGGCGGACGGGUGAGUAAUGCUUAGGAAUCUGCCUAUUAGUGGGGGACAACAUCUCGAAAGGGAUGCUAAUACCGCAUACGUCCUACGGGAGAAAGCAGGGGAUCUUCGGACCUUGCGCUAAUAGAUGAGCCUAAGUCGGAUUAGCUAGUUGGUGGGGUAAAGGCCUACCAAGGCGACGAUCUGUAGCGGGUCUGAGAGGAUGAUCCGCCACACUGGGACUGAGACACGGCCCAGACUCCUACGGGAGGCAGCAGUGGGGAAUAUUGGACAAUGGGGGGAACCCUGAUCCAGCCAUGCCGCGUGUGUGAAGAAGGCCUUAUGGUUGUAAAGCACUUUAAGCGAGGAGGAGGCUACUUUAGUUAAUACCUAGAGAUAGUGGACGUUACUCGCAGAAUAAGCACCGGCUAACUCUGUGCCAGCAGCCGCGGUAAUACAGAGGGUGCGAGCGUUAAUCGGAUUUACUGGGCGUAAAGCGUGCGUAGGCGGCUUAUUAAGUCGGAUGUGAAAUCCCCGAGCUUAACUUGGGAAUUGCAUUCGAUACUGGUGAGCUAGAGUAUGGGAGAGGAUGGUAGAAUUCCAGGUGUAGCGGUGAAAUGCGUAGAGAUCUGGAGGAAUACCGAUGGCGAAGGCAGCCAUCUGGCCUAAUACUGACGCUGAGGUACGAAAGCAUGGGGAGCAAACAGGAUUAGAUACCCUGGUAGUCCAUGCCGUAAACGAUGUCUACUAGCCGUUGGGGCCUU
RNAcentral lists this ribosomal RNA (810 nucleotides) under Acinetobacter baumannii OIFC032. RNAcentral's name for it is "bacterial SSU rRNA". It matches the Rfam family "Bacterial small subunit ribosomal RNA", at positions 28 to 832 of the family's 1533-position model. The record is from RNAcentral. Lineage: Bacteria; Pseudomonadati; Pseudomonadota; Gammaproteobacteria; Moraxellales; Moraxellaceae.